AGAGAGAGGACAUGCGCGCAUAUCAAUAAGCGGAGGAAAAGAAACUAACAAGGAUUCCCUUAGUAACGGCGAGUGAAGCGGGAAGAGCUCAAAUUUGAAAUCUUCAAGGUUCCACCUUGACGAAUUGUAGUUUAUAGAAGUGUUUUCUGUUAGUGGAGUGGCAAAAGUUCUUUGGAAUAGGACAUCAUAGAGGGUGAGAAUCCCGUAUUUGGUCAUUCCUCCUAGCGUUAGUGAUACACUUUCAAUGAGUCGGAUUGUUUGGGAAUGCAGUCCAAAAUGGGUGGUAAAUUUCAUCUAAAGCUAAAUAUUGGCGAGAGACCGAUAGCGAACAAGUACCGUGAGGGAAAGAUGAAAAGAACUUUGAAAAGAGAGUUAAACAGUACGUGAAAUUGUCAAAAGGGAAGCGUUUGACACCAGUGUUGUUUUUCCGAAAAUCAAUUACGAAUGUUUUAGUUUUUGAGGAGUUAUGACUUCAUCGGCUUGGCUCCUUUCUUUACUGAAACUUUCUUAAUGCACUUUUCGGUUAACAAGUCAACAUCAAUUUCUUUUGUUGUAAAAGGGUAUGAGGAAGGUGGCUUUCUUUUCGGAGAAAGUGUUUAUAGCCUUGUGCCUCUGCAAUCGGAGAGAUUGAGGUCUGCAGCGUAGAUCCUUCGGGGUUAGAUACGUUUGUGCUAAGUUAUAGCUUUUCAUAGACAACUUGUUGACUAUGUUUAGUCUUGUAGCUUACUCGCUGACGCUAUUUUACCUACGCUUAGGAUGUUGAUAGUCACAGCGUGUAC
Molecule: ribosomal RNA, 779 nt
Filed under: uncultured Neocallimastigales
Lineage: Eukaryota; Fungi; Neocallimastigomycota; Neocallimastigomycetes; Neocallimastigales
Description: partial large subunit ribosomal RNA
Rfam family: Eukaryotic large subunit ribosomal RNA
Source: RNAcentral